AGCGAACGCUGGCGGCAGGCUUAACACAUGCAAGUCGAACGGGCGUAGCAAUACGUCAGUGGCAGACGGGUGAGUAACGCGUGGGAACGUACCUUUUGGUUCGGAACAACACAGGGAAACUUGUGCUAAUACCGGAUAAGCCCUUACGGGGAAAGAUUUAUCGCCGAAAGAUCGGCCCGCGUCUGAUUAGCUAGUUGGUGAGGUAACGGCUCACCAAGGCGACGAUCAGUAGCUGGUCUGAGAGGAUGAUCAGCCACAUUGGGACUGAGACACGGCCCAAACUCCUACGGGAGGCAGCAGUGGGGAAUAUUGGACAAUGGGCGCAAGCCUGAUCCAGCCAUGCCGCGUGAGUGAUGAAGGCCCUAGGGUUGUAAAGCUCUUUUGUGCGGGAAGAUAAUGACGGUACCGCAAGAAUAAGCCCGGCUAACUUCGUGCCAGCAGCCGCGGUAAGGCACGACUGU
This 461-nucleotide ribosomal RNA is filed under the name uncultured bacterium. RNAcentral describes it as "bacterial SSU rRNA". It matches the Rfam family "Bacterial small subunit ribosomal RNA", at positions 29 to 532 of the family's 1533-position model. The record is from RNAcentral.